This 71-nucleotide transfer RNA is filed under the name Gadus morhua (Atlantic cod). RNAcentral describes it as "transfer RNA-Gln". It matches the Rfam family "tRNA". From Rfam's summary of the family: Transfer RNA (tRNA) molecules are approximately 80 nucleotides in length. Their secondary structure includes four short double-helical elements and three loops (D, anti-codon, and T loops). Lineage: Eukaryota; Metazoa; Chordata; Actinopteri; Gadiformes; Gadidae. RNAcentral also lists the same sequence under 1 other name. The record is from RNAcentral.
UAGAAAGUGGUGUAGUGGAAGCACUAGGAGUUUUGAUCUCCUGUGGAUGGGUUCGAGCCCCCUUUUUCUAA